AAGUCCCGCAAGGGAUUAGUAGAGUGGCAAACGGGUGAGUAACACGUGGGUGACCUGCCUUCGAGUGGGGGAUAACGUCCCGAAAGGGACGCUAAUACCGCAUAACAUCCUGCCUUUUAAGAGGUGGAGAUCAAAGCCGGGGAUCGCAAGACCUGGCGCUGGAAGAGGGGCCCGCGUCCGAUUAGCUAGUUGGUGGGGUAAUGGCUCACCAAGGCAUCGAUCGGUAUCCGGCCUGAGAGGGCGGACGGACACACUGGGACUGAGACACGGCCCAGACUCCUACGGGAGGCAGCAGUGGGGAAUUGUUCGCAAUGGGCGCAAGCCUGACGACGCAACGCCGCGUGGAGGAUGAAGACCUUCGGG
RNAcentral lists this ribosomal RNA (363 nucleotides) under uncultured bacterium. RNAcentral's name for it is "bacterial SSU rRNA". It matches the Rfam family "Bacterial small subunit ribosomal RNA", at positions 72 to 422 of the family's 1533-position model. The record is from RNAcentral.